Papaver somniferum (opium poppy) is the source of this 685-nucleotide long non-coding RNA. RefSeq lists it as uncharacterized. The transcript has 3 exons. NCBI's taxonomy places the organism in Eukaryota, Viridiplantae, Streptophyta, Magnoliopsida, Ranunculales, Papaveraceae. The record is from RefSeq and is a predicted model, not a curated record.
UGUCAGGAAUGCGGUGACUCGGGCUAUGCUGAGCUCCUAAUUUACUGUGUUUUGUGUCAAACAUCUUCUGAACAUAGUUAUUGUUUAGGUAAAACACCUAAGAAUUGUGACGGUGAAGUCAUAUGGAUAUGUGAGGGUUGUGAAGAAACAGCUGGACUCAUACAAGGUGGGCAAGUAACCAGUUUUGAAGAUAGGUCAAACAGUAGAAAGAAACUAAAAUACUGAGUUCACUGAUCCUGUGUGAAGAGGUGUAUGACUGCCCGUGGUUUGUCUCUCGUUCUCAUGUCAUAUCUGGUGAAUGGGGUUUAAAAAGCAAAAGAUUAGAUGCAGACGAGGAGGAAAGAUUUACGCCCUGCCACUUGAAUUCACGACUUAUGGAUCCUUUGUUUUGUUGGAGAUGUACAAUUAUGACUGUUAACAUCGGAGGAUAGUAAGCUGAACCUUGAGUUAGAACUAGGCCUAGCAGUGUAAAAAUUCCGUUUCGGUGUUUUCUGAAAAUGAAGGGGAGGAGAAUAGAGGUUUAAAUAUGCUGGUUGAUGUUCUCAUCCACCCCCUGCAUCUUUUUUUCCUCUGUGAAUUCAAUAUCAUGUGUAUUUCAGCCAAUUCCCUAAUCUGUUGCUUGUUACUUCUACUUACCUGUGGCAUCCUGUAUAUAUGAAGCACUAAUUAAUGAGCACUUCAGAUG